RNAcentral lists this transfer RNA (77 nucleotides) under Gammaproteobacteria bacterium. Its description in RNAcentral is "tRNA-Pro". It matches the Rfam family "tRNA". From Rfam's summary of the family: Transfer RNA (tRNA) molecules are approximately 80 nucleotides in length. Their secondary structure includes four short double-helical elements and three loops (D, anti-codon, and T loops). Lineage: Bacteria; Pseudomonadati; Pseudomonadota; Gammaproteobacteria. The record is from RNAcentral.
CGGGGCGUAGCGCAGUCUGGUAGCGUACAUGCAUGGGGUGCAUGUGGUCGGAGGUUCAAAUCCUCUCGCCCCGACCA